RNAcentral lists this transfer RNA (65 nucleotides) under Hydroporus signatus. RNAcentral describes it as "tRNA-Ile". The record is from RNAcentral. Lineage: Eukaryota; Metazoa; Arthropoda; Insecta; Coleoptera; Dytiscidae.
AAUGAGAUGCCUGAUAAAAGGAUUAUUUUGAUAGAAUAAAUUAUGUAAUUAAAUUACUCUCAUUA